RNAcentral lists this ribosomal RNA (373 nucleotides) under uncultured organism. Its description in RNAcentral is "bacterial SSU rRNA". It matches the Rfam family "Bacterial small subunit ribosomal RNA", at positions 526 to 896 of the family's 1533-position model. The record is from RNAcentral.
CGUAGGGUGCAAGCGUUGUCCGGAAUUAUUGGGCGUAAAGAGCUCGUAGGCGGCUCGUUGCGUCGACUGUGAAAUCCCAAGGCUCAACCUUGGGUCUGCAGUCGAUACGGGCGAGCUAGAGUAUGGUAGGGGAGACUGGAAUUCCUGGUGUAGCGGUGGAAUGCGCAGAUAUCAGGAGGAACACCGGUGGCGAAGGCGGGUCUCUGGGCCAUUACUGACGCUGAGGAGCGAAAGCGUGGGGAGCGAACAGGAUUAGAUACCCUGGUAGUCCACGCCGUAAACGUUGGGCGCUAGGUGUGGGGACCAUUCCACGGUCUCUGUGCCGCAGCUAACGCAUUAAGCGCCCCGCCUGGGGAGUACGGCCGCAAGGCUA